RNAcentral lists this ribosomal RNA (464 nucleotides) under uncultured bacterium. Its description in RNAcentral is "partial 16S ribosomal RNA". It matches the Rfam family "Bacterial small subunit ribosomal RNA", at positions 28 to 507 of the family's 1533-position model. The record is from RNAcentral.
GACGAACGCUGGCGGCGUGCCUAACACAUGCAAGUCGAGCGAAUGAAGUUCCUUCGGGAAUGGAUUUAGCGGCGGACGGGUGAGUAACACGUGGGCAACCUGCCUCAUAGAGGGGAAUAGCCUUCCGAAAGGGAGAUUAAUACCGCAUAAGAUUGUAGUAUCGCAUGAUACAGCAAUUAAAGGAGCAAUCCGCUAUGAGAUGGGCCCGCGGCGCAUUAGCUAGUUGGUGAGGUCACGGCUCACCAAGGCGACGAUGCGUAGCCGACCUGAGAGGGUGAUCGGCCACAUUGGGACUGAGACACGGCCCAGACUCCUACGGGAGGCAGCAGUGGGGAAUAUUGCACAAUGGGGGAAACCCUGAUGCAGCAACGCCGCGUGAGUGAUGACGGCCUUCGGGUUGUAAAGCUCUGUCUUCAGGGACGAUAAUGACGGUACCUGAGGAGGAAGCCACGGCUAACUACGUG